This 756-nucleotide small RNA is filed under the name Histoplasma capsulatum. RNAcentral describes it as "hypothetical RNA". RNAcentral also lists the same sequence under 1 other name. The record is from RNAcentral. Lineage: Eukaryota; Fungi; Ascomycota; Eurotiomycetes; Onygenales; Ajellomycetaceae.
GUUGCAGAAUUCAAUCGUUUCGCCUCCACAAGCACCCACAAAAGACAAUCGAAACGCGGGUCUGCUUAUAUUUUAUUGAACCGGUUAUCUUUGAAAGGAGCCCCUGUUUACUCUGCUUAGCUUCAAGAACUCUGAUUGAAAAUAAUUUACUAUCAAGCUGUCAAUAACUGAAGACUUGAAUCAUUUAAGUGAUUGUGAGAAUAUAAUGAGCUCACUGUGAGAUAUAGAUUAUUGAGAAAGCUGAGAUUGUUUGAUAAAAGAUUGGUUUGAUUGAUCUGAUAUCUGACUGUGAAGCUGCUGUUGGCCUAUACCUUGGGUCGAGUUUCAUAAUAUUCAAGACAAACCCGUUGUCCCCAUGGAAUCUCUCUCGCCAAGUAGCGAGGGAGAAGAGCUUCAAUUUUUCAGGUGGCACAUCUGAAUGACGAGUGACAGGAUUUUCAAAGUCUCCAUAUCAGCAAGGUGAGCAUGUGGCUGUGAGUACCGUCCAAAAUAGAGUUGGAUACUUUGCAAAGAUCUCAAUUUCAUAGCCAUUGUAUCCUCAAGGAGCUAUCGGUUGGAAUAUGAAGAGAAUGCACCCCCAGGUCACGGAUAUGACCCGUUGAUGAGACAGUCAGCAUCAGAGUUUUUCAGGGGCCAGGGUUCUAAUAGCUCCUAUCAUCCCAAAUGACCAACUGUCAGUCGACGAAGCUCUCAACUAAUUUUUUGUCUAUAUUUUUGUACCUUUUAUCUCACCUGUUUUCCAGAAUAUAACCGCGC